Non-coding RNA from Aspergillus arachidicola, 87 nucleotides. The record is from the annotation of a GenBank genome assembly. NCBI's taxonomy places the organism in Eukaryota, Fungi, Ascomycota, Eurotiomycetes, Eurotiales, Aspergillaceae.
GUCAGUGUGGCCGAGCGGUUAUGGCGUGGAAUUCAAAUGCUCGGUCGCUCUGCGUUCGCAGGUUCGAAUCCUGUCGUCACCUUGACG